AUAGUAUUCCCUCCGUUCCGAAUUACUUGUCGCACGGAUGGAUGUAUCUAGAUGUAUUUUAGUUUUAGAUACAUUCAUUUCAGCGACGAGUACUUUGGAACGGAGGAAGUAGUUA
This is a non-coding RNA of Triticum aestivum (bread wheat), 115 nucleotides long. The record is from Rfam. NCBI's taxonomy places the organism in Eukaryota, Viridiplantae, Streptophyta, Magnoliopsida, Poales, Poaceae.